RNAcentral lists this ribosomal RNA (253 nucleotides) under uncultured bacterium. RNAcentral's name for it is "partial 16S ribosomal RNA". It matches the Rfam family "Bacterial small subunit ribosomal RNA", at positions 524 to 776 of the family's 1533-position model. The record is from RNAcentral.
UACGUAGGGUGCGAGCGUUAAUCGGAAUUACUGGGCGUAAAGCGUGCGCAGGCGGUUUUGUAAGACAGAUGUGAAAUCCCCGGGCUCAACCUGGGACCUGCAUUUGUGACUGCAAGGCUAGAGUGCGGCAGAGGGGGAUGGAAUUCCGCGUGUGGCAGUGAAAUGCGUAGAUAUGCGGAGGAACACCGAUGGCGAAGGCAAUCCCCUGGGCCUGCACUGACGCUCAUGCACGAAAGCGUGGGGAGCAAACAGG